CGACCGGCGCACGGGUGAGUAACGCGUAUGUAAUCUACCUGUAACAGAGGGAUAACCCGGAGAAAUCCGGACCAAUACCUCAUAGCACAUUAUUAUUCGCAUGAAUUUUAUGUUAAAGAGACUCGGUUACAGAUGAACAUGCGUUCCAUUAGCUAGUUGGCGGGGUUACGGCCCACCAAGGCAACGAUGGAUAGGGGUUCUGAGAGGAAGGUCCCCCACACUGGUACUGAGACACGGACCAG
This 242-nucleotide ribosomal RNA is filed under the name uncultured bacterium. RNAcentral describes it as "partial 16S ribosomal RNA". It matches the Rfam family "Bacterial small subunit ribosomal RNA", at positions 92 to 334 of the family's 1533-position model. The record is from RNAcentral.